This 1024-nucleotide long non-coding RNA is filed under the name Sus scrofa (pig). Its description in RNAcentral is "lncRNA (ENSSSCG00070001618.1)". Lineage: Eukaryota; Metazoa; Chordata; Mammalia; Artiodactyla; Suidae. The record is from RNAcentral.
AGCUGCUUGCUGUCCACAGUGUGGCAGCCACUGGCCAGAGGGAGCCAUUUAUGUUUGAUUGAAUUCAAUCCGUAGUUAGGUCUGCCUCUUGCAGUGAACACAACAAAGCAGCCAGUGGUUCACUCACACACGCCACCACGCAAGUGUGUCCGUGCAGCUGGAAUUUCAACCUGGAGCUGAGACCUCCAGAUGGACUCCUAGAAGGGUGACGUGUAAAGCUGCAUCCCUCAGCAGCCCACGAUCUUGGCAGGUUUGCCACUGUGACCAAUGUUUUAUUGAAGCUUCUGAGGCCGUAGAGCACAGGGAAGUUCCGAGCACACAGAGGACAAGCCAGGGCGGUGCUGUGUGGCCCAAAACAACCUUAGUAGGAGACAUGAGUGGGGGACGGUUUCUAACACCUUGAUUCCUCAUGUCUGUGUUUCUGCAGUGUGGAGCAUUGUGAGUCUGUGUGGCAGCAACCACGAAGAAAGUGAUACAGGUAAGAAUAGCUCUCAGGUAGGGGCCAGUGGGAGAGGGUUCGCGGGACACUUGGGUUAUGCCUGCUGCUUGGAGGGUGGGGCGGGUGAGUCUGCAAUUGAAAAACAGAAAGAAAUUGGUGUAAAGAUGUUCGUCGCCUAUUUUCCUAAGGAGGGGGAGCAGGUAUGAGAUGCCCGAAUGUUGGCAUCUGUGCUCGCAUUGUGUUGAAGGGUCUCAGUCCUGGAGCAGAGGGACGGUCUGGGCACCUGGAGGAAAAACCAGGGUGAUGCUCUGUGACCUGCUAUCACCUCGGGGAAGCGGGGGAAACGGGAGGGCCACUCCUUCUCACGCCUCGCUUCCCCGCGGUGUGUUUCUACAGACUUGGUGGCGGAGAGCACCGACUGCCGCCAGGAUGAGGAGGCUGCAGAAUCUUGCUUUGGGAGGAAAGGAUCUUGCUGCAGGAGUCUGAGGAUAUGUUUGUCCUCUGUGAGCUUGGCUAGAAUAAUCCCAUGGUGGCCACACAACAGAGUGCACCUGCCACUGAGCCAGACGAAGAUACUGUGGAACC